AGACAUGUUCUAAUCGUCAGCUUC
RNAcentral lists this microRNA (24 nucleotides) under Solanum lycopersicum (tomato). RNAcentral's name for it is "sly-miR10536". Lineage: Eukaryota; Viridiplantae; Streptophyta; Magnoliopsida; Solanales; Solanaceae. The record is from miRBase by way of RNAcentral.